Molecule: ribosomal RNA, 481 nt
Filed under: uncultured bacterium
Lineage: Bacteria
Description: bacterial SSU rRNA
Rfam family: Bacterial small subunit ribosomal RNA
Source: RNAcentral
CUACGUGCCAGCAGCCGCGGUAAUACGGAAGGUCCAGGCGUUAUCCGGAUUUAUUGGGUUUAAAGGGAGCGUAGGCUGGAGAUUAAGUGUGUUGUGAAAUGUAGACGCUCAACGUCUGAAUUGCAGCGCAUACUGGUUUCCUUGAGUACGCACAACGUUGGCGGAAUUCGUCGUGUAGCGGUGAAAUGCUUAGAUAUGACGAAGAACUCCGAUUGCGAAGGCAGCUGACGGGAGCGCAACUGACGCUUAAGCUCGAAGGUGCGGGUAUCAAACAGGAUUAGAUACCCUGGUAGUCCGCACAGUAAACGAUGGAUGCCCGCUGUUGGUACCUGGUAUCAGUGGCUAAGCGAAAGCAUUAAGCAUCCCACCUGGGGAGUACGCCGGCAACGGUGAAACUCAAAGGAAUUGACGGGGGCCCGCACAAGCGGAGGAACAUGUGGUUUAAUUCGAUGAUACGCGAGGAACCUUACCCGGGCUUGAA